CUUCUCCCAACUCCUCAUCUCAUGCGGCCUUCUCCAUCCAACUCCUCUCCGGCCUCCAGAUCCGGGGCGUCAACAAGGCUGUGUACUCCUGGAGAAAUUGAUCGUCAGGGUUUCCGCGGAAGCAAUUUGGAGUCAACUAGCGUGAAAUACGAUUUUUUUUCUUAUACCCGCACGAAGCCACUGCCUUGGGUGAUCUCGGCAGCGGCCAGGGAGUUAGGUUUGGCAGCUCGAGGAGGGAGGGUAGAGACGGGAGAGGUGGCGGCGAGCGGGCGGCGGAGGAUGGUCGGUGAGUUCGGGAGGGACGUACAGUGGCUCAGGGAGGGAAGGUGGUGGGAUUGAGAAGCAAGGCGAGCCUCGGGGUGGCACAGGCGAGCUUCAGAGGGCAGUGUGCAGCAGAGGCCUUUUUCCUCCUUCCAUUCUUUCCCUAUUUUCAUCCGAAUACACAACUUUCUCCCUCUUUUUUCCUCUCCCUCCCUCUCCCUUCCCUCCUUUCUCUCCUCCCCUCAUUUCUCUUCUUCCCCUUCUCUUCCUUUCUCCCUGAAUGCACACUGUAUACUGAAAAUGGAAAAGGAUUCAAGUUUCUCACGAGGAAGUGAAAUGUCUCUACUGGAGCAAUUUGAAGGUAUAUUGGAAGGAGAUAAACUCAUUGAUGAAAUAGGUUUCUUGGGCCCAUCUCAGUUUGCUUCACUAGAUCAGGAUUUAAGUGGUUCUUCUCUUGACCAGUGCACUCCUAUUCAGUUGGCUGAUUGCAUCUGCUCAGGAAAACUCUGAUCACCUUCUUGAAGAUGAAAUUCUAAAACACACGAAGGCCUUACUGAUUUUAAGCUGCAACUUCAGCAGUGCUUGGAAUGACAGGUGGAUACAGGACAGUCGAGAUCAGUACACUAAGGAGCGUCUGGAUUCAGUAAUUGAUCAGUACACUAAGCGUCUGGAUUCAGUAACUACUGUACUAUUUUGAGUAAAUAGAUUGUUGGCUACUUCAAUAUUCAGUAU
Zingiber officinale is the source of this 993-nucleotide RNA transcript. RefSeq lists it as uncharacterized. The record is from RefSeq and is a predicted model, not a curated record. NCBI's taxonomy places the organism in Eukaryota, Viridiplantae, Streptophyta, Magnoliopsida, Zingiberales, Zingiberaceae. The transcript is spliced from 5 exons.